AUUGAACGCUGGCGGCAUGCCUUACACAUGCAAGUCGAACGGCAGCACGGGAGGCAAUCCUGGUGGCGAGUGGCGAACGGGUGAGUAAUAUAUCGGAACGUGCCCAGUCGUGGGGAUAACGUAGCGAAAGCUACGCUAAUACCGCAUACGAUCUAUGGAUGAAAGCGGGGGAUCGCAAGACCUCGCGCGAUUGGAGCGGCCGAUAUCAGAUUAGGUAGUUGGUGAGGUAAAGGCUCACCAAGCCGACGAUCUGUAGCUGGUCUGAGAGGACGACCAGCCACACUGGGACUGAGACACGGCCCAGGACUCCUACGGGAGGCAGGCAGUGGGGAAUUUUGGACAAUGGGCGCAAGCCUGAUCCAGCAAUGCCGCGUGCAGGAUGAAGGCCUGGUGUAAC
This 397-nucleotide ribosomal RNA is filed under the name uncultured bacterium. Its description in RNAcentral is "bacterial SSU rRNA". It matches the Rfam family "Bacterial small subunit ribosomal RNA", at positions 29 to 429 of the family's 1533-position model. The record is from RNAcentral.